UGCAAGUCGAACGAUGAAGCCCUUCGGGGUGGAUUAGUGGCGAACGGGUGAGUAACACGUGGGCAAUCUGCCCUGCACUCUGGGACAAGCCCUGGAAACGGGGUCUAAUACCGGAUAACACUCCUCCUCGCAUGGGGAGGGGUUAAAAGCUCCGGCGGUGCAGGAUGAGCCCGCGGCCUAUCAGCUUGUUGGUGAGGUAGUGGCUCACCAAGGCGACGACGGGUAGCCGGCCUGAGAGGGCGACCGGCCACACUGGGACUGAGACACGGCCCAGACUCCUACGGGAGGCAGCAGUGGGGAAUAUUGCACAAUGGGCGAAAGCCUGAUGCAGCGACGCCGCGUGAGGGAUGACGGCCUUCGGGUUGUAAACCUCUUUCAGCAGGGAAGAAGCGAAAGUGACGGUACCUGCAGAAGAAGCGCCGGCUAACUACGUGCCAGCAGCCGCGGUAAUACGUAGGGCGCAAGCGUUGUCCGGAAUUAUUGGGCGUAAAGAGCUCGUAGGCGGCUUGUCGCGUCGGUUGUGAAAGCCCGGGGCUUAACCCCGGGUCUGCAGUCGAUACGGGCAGGCUAGAGUUCGGUAGGGGAGAUCGGAAUUCCUGGUGUAGCGGUGAAAUGCGCAGAUAUCAGGAGGAACACCGGUGGCGAAGGCGGAUCUCUGGGCCGAUACUGACGCUGAGGAGCGAAAGCGUGGGGAGCGAACAGGAUUAGAUACCCUGGUAGUCCACGCCGUAAACGGUGGG
RNAcentral lists this ribosomal RNA (740 nucleotides) under Streptomyces sp. 4WS4_03. RNAcentral describes it as "bacterial SSU rRNA". It matches the Rfam family "Bacterial small subunit ribosomal RNA", at positions 56 to 813 of the family's 1533-position model. Lineage: Bacteria; Bacillati; Actinomycetota; Actinomycetes; Kitasatosporales; Streptomycetaceae. The record is from RNAcentral.